RNAcentral lists this ribosomal RNA (464 nucleotides) under Vreelandella stevensii. Its description in RNAcentral is "partial 16S ribosomal RNA". It matches the Rfam family "Bacterial small subunit ribosomal RNA", at positions 338 to 795 of the family's 1533-position model. Lineage: Bacteria; Pseudomonadati; Pseudomonadota; Gammaproteobacteria; Oceanospirillales; Halomonadaceae. The record is from RNAcentral.
CCUACGGGGUGCUGCAGUGGGGAAUAUUGGACAAUGGGCGAAAGCCUGAUCCAGCCAUGCCGCGUGUGUGAAGAAGGCCUUCGGGUUGUAAAGCACUUUCAGUGGGGAAGAAAGCCUUGGGGCUAAUACCCUCGAGGAAGGACAUCACCCACAGAAGAAGCACCGGCUAACUCCGUGCCAGCGCCGCGGUAAUACGGAGGGUGCGAGCGUUAAUCGGAAUUACUGGGCGUAAAGCGCGCGUAGGCGGUCUGAUAAGCCGGUUGUGAAAGCCCCGGGCUCAACCUGGGAACGGCAUCCGGAACUGUCAGGCUAGAGUGCAGGAGAGGAAGGUAGAAUUCCCGGUGUAGCGGUGAAAUGCGUAGAGAUCGGGAGGAAUACCAGUGGCGAAGGCGGCCUUCUGGACUGACACUGACGCUGAGGUGCGAAAGCGUGGGUAGCAAACAGGAUUAGAUACCCCUGUAGUC